AGAGUUGUAUCCUGGCUCAGGAUGAACGCUGGCGAGAUGCCUUAUACAUGCAAGUCGUACGAGAGUUUUUAACUCAAGUGGCGGACGGGUGAGUAACACGUAAGAAUUUGCCUUUAGGAGGGGGACAACAACUGGAAACGGUUGCUAAUACCCCAUAUGCUUUCGAGUGAAAUGGAUUUUUCCGCCUAGAGAGAAGCUUGCGGCUGAUUAGCUUGUUGGUGAGGUAAUGGCUCACCAAGGCGACGAUCAGUAUCUGGUUUGAGAGGACGAUCAGACACACUGGAACUGAGACACGGUCCAGACUCCUACGGGAGGCAGCAGUGGGGAAUUUUCCGCAAUGGGCGAAAGCCUGACGGAGCAAUACAGCGUGAGGGAAGACUGCCUAUGGGUUGUAAACCUCUUUUUUCAGGGAGGAAUAAAUGACGUGUACCUGAAGAAUAAGCAUCGGCUAACUCCGUGCCAGCAGCCGCGGUAAGACGGAGGAUGCAAGUGUUAUCCGGAAUCGCUGGGCGUAAAGCGUCUGUAGGUGGUUUAAUAAGUCAACUGUUAAAUCUUGAGGCUCAACUUCAAAAUCGCAGUCGAAACUAUUAGACUAGAGUAUAGUAGAGGUAAAGGGAAUUUCCAGUGGAGCGGUGAAAUGCGUAGAUAUUGGAAAGAACACCGAUGGCGAAAGCACUUUACUGGGCUAUUACUAACACUCAGAGACGAAAGCUAGGGUAGCAAAUGGGAUUAGAUA
RNAcentral lists this ribosomal RNA (736 nucleotides) under uncultured Cyanobacterium sp. Its description in RNAcentral is "bacterial SSU rRNA". It matches the Rfam family "Bacterial small subunit ribosomal RNA", at positions 8 to 784 of the family's 1533-position model. Lineage: Bacteria; Bacillati; Cyanobacteriota; Cyanophyceae; Chroococcales; Geminocystaceae. The record is from RNAcentral.